Long non-coding RNA from Strigops habroptila (Kakapo), 1710 nucleotides. RefSeq lists it as uncharacterized. The record is from RefSeq and is a predicted model, not a curated record. The transcript is spliced from 3 exons. NCBI's taxonomy places the organism in Eukaryota, Metazoa, Chordata, Aves, Psittaciformes, Psittacidae.
GGUGUCUCACAGAACACUUGCUUUCUUUUGCUCACUUUCAACAGGUGAAAAUAGAGAUACAGACAAGAGCUGUUUUCUAAUGGUGUGAUGAGGCCAUGGCCCCAAAGGAUGGCCUGUCCAGGAGAUGCCUAUCUUUGGCUUCAGGCAGUAAUGCCUGUGUGGAAACAGCUCAUAUCUGCUCCAGGACCUGAUAAGGAGCCCCUGCCCUAAACAUCUAGUGAAGUGAUGUUCAAGAUGGUCAAUAGGAUGGAAGUAUGUAACAGCAAGAUAAUGAAUUUGACAUGGUUAACCACUACACUGUUAUUUCCUUUGAUCAGAUAUGAACAUGCAUGCCGUAAAGUCAGUGGCCAUUUACUUCACAUAAUUGUCAUAACAUGUUUUCAGCUCUUCAUCGUCAAUAGAAAGAUGUUGAAAUUUCCCAGUGAAUGAGUACAGUUUUUCUAGAAUUUUCUUCAAAAUGACUGGGCUGUUUCUGAAGUAACUUUAAAAAUAACCUGAAGCUAAAUUCCUUUCAUAUGGCAUUUCAGGUAAGGCACUUAAGUUUGGUAAUCUGUGGUGGGUUGAUCCUGCUAGCAACAAAGUGCACCAGCCACUCAUUUGCUCCACACUUUACCCACAGUGGGAUGGCAGAGAGUAUAGAAGGAACAAAAGCAAGAAAAACUAAGGAGUUGAGAUAGAGACAGUUUAGUAAAUGAAGAAAAGGAGGAAAAAAACCCCAAACCAAGAAGUGAUGCCAAGACAAUCACUCACCACCUUCCACUAGCAGACCAAUGACCAGUCUAAAGGCAUGACACUUGUCAUAGGAAAAUGAAGUUCCAUGUGGGUCUCUGCAAGCACCUCAGUUCCGAUGCUAAGACUCUGUGAGGAGGACACCUUCUUAUCAUUAAGGCUGUGAUGAUGGAAACUGGUGUCUGUUGAAGUUCAAAUAGAUGCAAGCCUUGAAGUCUUCAAUGUCAAAGGUAAAAUUCACCUCAGUGUUUUCAUUUAAUGAGCAGUAGGAAGAGAAAGAUUUCUAUGUUUACAGUUAUAUCAUGGCACAAAGUGAAAGACAUUCAUACAGCAUAAUGGUGGACAUUGCCAAGACAGCUGCUCAGAGGAAAAUACCUGCAAGGAGCAGUACCGUGACUACAAGGAGUACCUACCAGCAGCAGCACAGAAAGCCUGAAGACCAUCUGUUAAAUAAAAUAAGCAGUCUGAAUAAGUGCAUAAAUAUCGCAUGUUAACAUCAAACCUCUUAUUGUGGUCAUGCUGGCUUGGCACAGAUCUGCAUAGCAGAGGACCAAACACAACUCGUACUGUCUGCUACACCUGUGGGCAUCUCCAGCAACUACAAUAUAAAUGGGCAGCUUUGCAGCAGAGCCAACAAGAAAAGCUUUCCGUAGGGAAGGCUGAUGUGGCUUCUCAGCAUUUCUGCUCUGCAUCUCAUGCAGCUAACUAUGGUUGAACCUGUUCUGAUGUACAAGUAUAUCCGAAGCAAAUUUCUUCUCUCAUCAAACCUUAAAUAGCUGCAGGCAUGACUUAAACACGCAUGAGUCCCUAACCAUAAAUUUUAAAACGUUGUUAUGACAGAAAGAUACUCCUUAUAGAGUGUGGGAAAGAGAGCUCGAAUAAAGCACAAAAAUAGGACAUGCUUUAAUAUUUGGAGGUGACUAUACAUAUUGUCACUGAAAGUUGGGAGAAUAAAACUCCUUAAUACCGAUGUAGCAUUAA